Salvelinus sp. IW2-2015 is the source of this 1170-nucleotide non-coding RNA. The record is from RefSeq and is a predicted model, not a curated record. NCBI's taxonomy places the organism in Eukaryota, Metazoa, Chordata, Actinopteri, Salmoniformes, Salmonidae.
CUCCGGCUCCACGGGUCUUUGACCUGCCGCCUCGUUCUCGCUCUCCCCUCGUCGUCACUGCUUGCUAGCUGUUGUGCUACAGGGUCAACAUCUUCCUCUCUUACAGGGUCAUAAUCUUCCUCUCUUCCAGGGUCCAACAUCUUCCUCUCUUCCUACGAGAUCCAUCUGCAUUUGUGAUGCACACUGCAGCAGUGAUGGAUGCCGCGGUGUUCUGAUAAAAGGAGGUCCGACCUGAAUCCCAGGGUUAAAAUACGUUUCCGGAAGGGCGUUGGGAAAUGCCACUCUCUGUUCAACCCAGUGGAACUCUUUUCCCUUUGAGGAGUUUACAAUAGCGAAGUACAGUUAUACAUUGAUAUUGUGUACUGUUUAUUGUUUUAAAUAAUGCUUGUAUUUAACGUUAUCAUUAUUGUAGAAAUGUAAAAAUGGAUGGUUGCAGACUUGCCUGGAGCUGGCCACUCCCCUUAUAGUCUCCGUGGAACGUCCCACCAAGCCUGGAUGCUCCUGAUCACCUCCACCUCCUGUGGUACACAAAACACAACCAUCACUUAUUUUCAGAUUGGUUUCUAGUGAAGUAACGUCUAGGCAACAUUUAGUAAUGAUACAAGUAUUUAGGUGAACUAGAGCAAAGACAAAUCAAUAUUUUUUUGUAUCGUCAGCAGCUCCUCUUCUACGCGGUCGCUGUUACCGACCGACAGGUUAGGUUAUCCGUGCGAUGGCGAACGGGGUCUCGGUGGCGUCCAGCGCCUUCAACAGCCUCCUCUUCUGCCCCAGGAGGAGGUCUGUCUCGGCCACCAGCUGUUUCAUGUGCCGCUGCAGCUCUGACUUCCAGAAGUGGAUUAUGCUGCAGUCUCUCGCCCAGGUGCCGCGUCCUCAGCUUGGGUGUGCAGAGCCCGGACUCGGUCUCCUUAUACAGUGUUUUGGACUCAUGGCGAAUCCUCUCUGCGUUGUUUCAGUCUGUAACCACCUGGUGAAGGGUAGAGAAAUGCUUGAAGUGCCAUUCCUCCGGGAUGCCAUUACUCUGAACGGUACCCCGCUGUAGCCAAGCCAGGGGAGGGAUACAAGUUAUGUGGGGCGGAGGCCACUCUAAAAGUGUGCAAUGCCACAGAUGUCUCAAGUUUUGAGGGAGCAUGCAAUUGGCACGCUGACUGCAGGAAUGUUCACCAGAGCUGU